This 551-nucleotide ribosomal RNA is filed under the name uncultured Glomus. Its description in RNAcentral is "SSU rRNA". It matches the Rfam family "Eukaryotic small subunit ribosomal RNA", at positions 548 to 1098 of the family's 1831-position model. Lineage: Eukaryota; Fungi; Glomeromycota; Glomeromycetes; Glomerales; Glomeraceae. The record is from RNAcentral.
UUGGAGGGCAAGUCUGGUGCCAGCAGCCGCGGUAAUUCCAGCUCCAAUAGCGUAUAUUAAAGUUGUUGCAGUUAAAAAGCUCGUAGUUGAACUUCGGGGUUCACCCAUUGGUCAGGCUUAAUUGUCUGUACUGGUGAGAUAAAUCUCUACCUUCUGAGGAACUUUCAUGCCAUUUAUUUGGUGUGAUUGGAAAUCAGGACUGUUACUUUGAAAAAAUUAGAGUGUUUAAAGCAGGCUAACGUCUGAAUACAUUAGCAUGGAAUAAUGAAAUAGGACGGACUGAUUCUAUUUCGUUGGUUUCUAGGAUCACCGUAAUGAUUAAUAGGGAUAGUUGGGGGCAUUAGUAUUCAAUUGCCAGAGGUGAAAUUCUUGGAUUUAUUGAAGACUAACUACUGCGAAAGCAUUUGCCAAGGAUGUUUUCAUUAAUCAAGAACGAAAGUUAGGGGAUCGAGGACGAUCAGAUACCGUCGUAGUCUUAACCAUAAACUAUGCCGACUAGGGAUCGGACGAAGUUAAUUUUAUAAUGACGCGUUCGGCGCCUUACGGGAAAC